RNAcentral lists this long non-coding RNA (525 nucleotides) under Zostera marina. RNAcentral's name for it is "long non-coding RNA (ZMAR_LNC005622)". The record is from RNAcentral. Lineage: Eukaryota; Viridiplantae; Streptophyta; Magnoliopsida; Alismatales; Zosteraceae.
AAAGUCAGACCAGUUCACAGAAUCAAAGAUAGUGUACAUGGUUCCCAAUAGGCUCAAUUCUUUCAUUUUGAUUUGGGACAUCAAAGGCAGGAAAUAGAGGUGAUUCUUAACCACAUAUUCUAUGUGAGUUAUCAUGAAGCUGAAACUUCACGUUAGCAAUGAUUUUCUUGUUGGAUUGACUUGCUAUCUUACACUGACUGUUGCUGCUGUUUUAUACAGAUGUUGUACUCCAUAAGCUACCGUGGAUGCUACAGUCGUUGAAGCAACCAACCAGCUGAAAAAAAGCAAAAUGAUUGUAGAUUUGAAGUUUGGUAAAAAAAUAGCAGUCAAGCAAAUACAGAAAUAAAUAUCCUAAAGAAAGAUGUUUACUGUUUAAAAUAAGUAUAACUACUUUAAUGCCAUGCGUAAUAAACAACCUCAACUGUUUUUAAUGUUGAUAAUUUGAUAUACAACUUUAAAAUAUCAUCCUCAAAAACAGACUAAGCAUUGCAUAUUUGCAUAAUUGUAUUUAUCUUAAUUUUCUUU